This 406-nucleotide ribosomal RNA is filed under the name uncultured bacterium. Its description in RNAcentral is "partial 16S ribosomal RNA". It matches the Rfam family "Bacterial small subunit ribosomal RNA", at positions 28 to 526 of the family's 1533-position model. The record is from RNAcentral.
GACGAACGCUGGCGGCGUGCUUAACACAUGCAAGUCGAACGAGUGGCGAACGGGUGAGUAAUACGUGAGUAACCUGCCCUCUUUUUGGGUUAAGCCUUGGCAACGGGGUCUAAUACCGGCUAACGGGGGAUGGGCUCGCGGCCUAUCAGCUUGUUGGUGGGGUGAUGGCCUACCCAGGCGGUGACGGGUAGCCGGCCUGAGAGGGUGAACGGCGACAUUGGGACGGAGAUACGGCCCAGACUCCUACGGGGGGCAGCAGUGGGGGAUAUUGCACAAUGGGCGAAAGCCUGAUGCAGCGACGCCGCGGGGGGGAUGAAGGCUUUCGGGUUGUAAACCUCUUGCGCAAUCGAAGGGGUAGGUGGAGAAGAAGCGCCGGCUAACUACGUGCCAGCAGACGCGGUAAUAC